GCUGGGUGUGGUGGCAUACGCCUGUAAUCCCAGCAGCUCGGGAGGCUGAGGAAGGAGGAUCAUUAGUUCAAAGCUAAACAAUUCAGUGAGACCCUGCCUCUA
This 102-nucleotide small RNA is filed under the name Marmota monax (woodchuck). Lineage: Eukaryota; Metazoa; Chordata; Mammalia; Rodentia; Sciuridae. The record is from RNAcentral.